Molecule: ribosomal RNA, 235 nt
Filed under: uncultured bacterium
Lineage: Bacteria
Description: partial 16S ribosomal RNA
Rfam family: Bacterial small subunit ribosomal RNA
Source: RNAcentral
CGCACGGGUGAGUAACACGUAUCCAACCUGCCGUCUACUCUUGGACAGCCUUCUGAAAGGAAGAUUAAUACAAGAUGGCAUCAUGAGUCCGCAUGUUCACAUGAUUAAAGGUAUUCCGGUAGACGAUGGGGAUGCGUUCCAUUAGAUAGUAGGCGGGGUAACGGCCCACCUAGUCUUCGAUGGAUAGGGGUUCUGAGAGGAAGGUCCCCCACAUUGGAACUGAGACACGGACCAA